Molecule: non-coding RNA, 983 nt
Organism: Rattus norvegicus (Norway rat)
Lineage: Eukaryota; Metazoa; Chordata; Mammalia; Rodentia; Muridae
Source: RefSeq, a predicted model, not a curated record
GAGCCUCGGGAAUUGAAGUUCUAAACGGUUGUUUACCAUGUGGGUUCUGGGAACUGAACUCAGGUAUUCAAGGGUAACGAGGACUCUUAAAUGCUGAGCCAUCUCCAGGCUGGAGCUGGGAUUUGAACCAAAGUGAUCCAGCCCCAGGUUUAUUCCCUGAGCUGAGAGGAGUCAGCUUCAUAGGCAGUGGUCUGGGUGGCUUUGCAGGGCCUCGCACACGCCUUAGUACCUUGCUGUUGCUGUCUUCAGCACCCAUGACGUUCUGCUGUACAGAAAUGGAGACACAAGAGAGCUAGAGUAAAACUCCAGAGGCAGAGGUAGAAUUUAAAGACCAGGAAGAAAAAGUUAAAAGGCCCAAAGAAUAUGUGUUAACAACAGCGAUAAACAGUCACAGAUACUGGCUGUCGGACUAAAAGCAACAGGAGCAGGAAGAUGGCGGAGUGAUUUCCUCCUAAAGCCCGGACGCGUUGCUACCACUUUGGAACAGUGCGUUUGCACGCAUUGGUUUAUGAUAGAGAUUCUGAUGCAGUAAUGGGAAGCGGAGGAGGAUCCAGAGGAGGGGGGCAGCGUGGACGUAAGGAACUCAUUUCGUGUGGAUGAGCAGGCCCUGAGUUCCAUCCUCAACACCGAGGAAGGAAAUUCAGAUCAAGUAAAAAGAAAAUCAGUCAAAUCAAAUCACACGGAGGUUUGCUCUCUGAACGCAGGUUUUGUUUUGUUUAUUUUACUCUCACGACAUCUUCUGUGCAAGUGACAAGGGGAUUUAAAAACACCGUUGCAUUCUUUUAUUUCGUGUGCGUGCAGGCAUGUGCCUGCCGUGGUGUAUGCGUGGAGGUCAGAGGACAACGUGCGGAUGUUGGCUCUCUCCUUCCACUGUCUGUGUCUUGAGGAUUGAACUCAGGUUGUCCUGUGUGGCAGCAGAUCCCUGUAUCAGCUGCGCCAUCUCACCAACUCCUAAUAAAGGCUUUUGUAUUCUUCUUCUCAUA